Benincasa hispida (wax gourd) is the source of this 115-nucleotide small nuclear RNA. RefSeq annotates it as U5 spliceosomal RNA. The record is from RefSeq and is a predicted model, not a curated record. Lineage: Eukaryota; Viridiplantae; Streptophyta; Magnoliopsida; Cucurbitales; Cucurbitaceae.
AGGCGGGCGGUGCACACAGAGCGAACUACUCUUUCGCCUUUUACUAAAGAAUACCGUGUGUUCGACGCAUGCACCGGUAUACGCCUUUUUAUUUCAAUUAACUUAUUUUUAAAAG